This 585-nucleotide small RNA is filed under the name chicken gut metagenome. The record is from RNAcentral.
AUAUUUAUCGAUGGUGCAUUAUUCUAGUCAUACAAGUUUUACGAGGGUGGGGCUAAAAAUCCACUAAAGGACAUAUCGUUGAAGUUUCUUGUAUAUGCGCGAAAUGCCAGUUUUGUGUGUAUACAGGGAGUAAAGAAUCUAGGGUAAUAUGUAAUGGCAUACAUGUGAUUCCCUAUUUUCGCGGAGGCUUAGAAUAUAAUUUUAAGUUAAACCUAUGUUGAGUGCCAAGACACAAAAUACAUAGAGUAGUCUGUCUCGAGUGAAUGUAUUGGGAUUAAUAUAAAAAUAAGUGAAAAAAAUCUUGGCCAGAUUUAUUUACUUAAGUUAUGAAAUUUCAUUUGCAAAAAAGACUAGUAAAACGCAACUGUAUGUAAAGGAAAACUUCUAGAAUGUUUGUCUCGAAAGAGGCAUAGAAGUCUGGGGAUUAAGGUACAGAUUUAAGUGGCGAUCUGGUGUCUAUUAAAUCUAAUAGAUAUUUUCCUUAAACGGAAACGGCUCUAACAGUAAUGUUAAGUGGAGAAUAGAGAAAUUCGACCAGACCUAAACUGUAAAAUUUACUUAGGCUUUUACCAUCUAGUUUCGUUU